UGUUCUAACGUGGACCCGUAAUCCGGGUUGCGGACAGUGUCUGGUGGGUAGUUUGACUGGGGCGGUCUCCUCCUAAAGAGUAACGGAGGAGCACGAAGGUUGGCUAAUCCUGGUCGGACAUCAGGAGGUUAGUGCAAUGGCAUAAGCCAGCUUGACUGCGAGCGUGACGGCGCGAGCAGGUGCGAAAGCAGGUCAUAGUGAUCCGGUGGUUCUGAAUGGAAGGGCCAUCGCUCAACGGAUAAAAGGUACUCCGGGGAUAACAGGCUGAUACCGCCCAAGAGUUCAUAUCGACGGCGGUGUUUGGCACCUCGAUGUCGGCUCAUCACAUCCUGGGGCUGAAGUAGGUCCCAAGGGUAUGGCUGUUCGCCAUUUAAAGUGGUACGCGAGCUGGGUUUAGAACGUCGUGAGACAGUUCGGUCCCUAUCUGCCGUGGGCGCUGGAGAACUGAGGGGGGCUGCUCCUAGUACGAGAGGACCGGAGUGGACGCAUCACUGGUGUUCGGGUUGUCAUGCCAAUGGCACUGCCCGGUAGCUAAAUGCGGAAGAGAUAAGUGCUGAAAGCAUCUAAGCACGAAACUUGCCCCGAGAUGAGUUCUCCCUGAGACUUUAGGUCUCCUGAAGGAACGUUGAAGACGACGACGUUGAUAGGCCGGGUGUGUAAGCGCAGCGAUG
This 671-nucleotide ribosomal RNA is filed under the name Salmonella enterica subsp. enterica serovar Typhimurium. RNAcentral's name for it is "partial 23S ribosomal RNA". It matches the Rfam family "Bacterial large subunit ribosomal RNA", at positions 2218 to 2883 of the family's 2925-position model. Lineage: Bacteria; Pseudomonadati; Pseudomonadota; Gammaproteobacteria; Enterobacterales; Enterobacteriaceae. The record is from RNAcentral.